GGGUUGAUGGCAGAUAGUAUGUGUUAAAUUGUAAAUUUAAUGAAGGGGAUCUUCCUCUCAACCUA
Molecule: transfer RNA, 65 nt
Filed under: Botrylloides nigrum
Lineage: Eukaryota; Metazoa; Chordata; Ascidiacea; Stolidobranchia; Styelidae
Description: transfer RNA-Tyr
Source: RNAcentral